GUAAGAUUUUGUUAUUUUUAUUUAAAUAAUAUAAUAUAUGACCACACAUAUGUGGGUACAAUUGUGAUAGAUCAAAAUCUACAUGAAUCACCAAAAAGGUGGAGGGAAGAAAGGGAAAGUCUGAACAAAGAUUUAAAAAAAAAAGUUAAAAAUUUUAAAAUUCAUGUCAUAAAUAACAGCUAAAGAGAGAAAAAAAAAGUUGAUUCACCUAACUACUUUUGACGAUGGCAUUCAGUAAGAAACACACACAGAAAAAACGACUACUACAUGUUACUGGGGUGGGGGGGGGGGGGGGGGGGG
Molecule: non-coding RNA, 300 nt
Organism: Biomphalaria pfeifferi
Lineage: Eukaryota; Metazoa; Mollusca; Gastropoda; Planorbidae
Source: the annotation of a GenBank genome assembly